This 304-nucleotide ribosomal RNA is filed under the name uncultured bacterium. RNAcentral's name for it is "partial 16S ribosomal RNA". It matches the Rfam family "Bacterial small subunit ribosomal RNA", at positions 506 to 807 of the family's 1533-position model. The record is from RNAcentral.
CAGCAGUAGCCGCGGGAAUACAGAGGGUGCGAGCGUUAAUCGGAUUUACUGGGCGUAAAGCGUGCGUAGGCGGCUUUUUAAGUCGGAUGUGAAAUCCCUGAGCUUAACUUAGGAAUUGCAUUCGAUACUGGGAAGCUAGAGUAUGGGAGAGGAUGGUAGAAUUCCAGGUGUAGCGGUGAAAUGCGUAGAGAUCUGGAGGAAUACCGAUGGCGAAGGCAGCCAUCUGGCCUAAUACUGACGCUGAGGUACGAAAGCAUGGGGAGCAAACAGGAUUAGAGACCCGCGUAGUCCCUGUCUCUUAUAC